GAGGUGAUGCAUGACAGGUGUUUGAUGAAAUGCUUUGUGCUCUUGUCUCCUUUGUUUGUGCCGGUGUCGCCCUAUCCUCUGCCCUAGCUCAUUGCCGCAGCGACAACCUGAUUCCAUCUAGGAGAGAUCUUGGAUAUGGUAUACGGUGUUGCUCCGAUGAGGAUUAAAUAUGGGAGGUUAGCUGAUCAGAGAUAGAGUUUCAGUGUAGGGAUCUAUUUGAGGUGUUGUUGCUAGAACAGUGGGCGUUCACUGCAAGGAAAUGUUGUCGGGCAGUGAAACAUUGGAGAAGGGGUUGUUGACAUGGAGUUAAGGUUAGUAGGAGAUGGAAAUGUGGGCAACAGUGAGCAUCACACCUGUGGCUUCCAAUAGUGGGUUGG
This is a long non-coding RNA of Zingiber officinale, 377 nucleotides long. RefSeq lists it as uncharacterized. The transcript has 3 exons. The record is from RefSeq and is a predicted model, not a curated record. Lineage: Eukaryota; Viridiplantae; Streptophyta; Magnoliopsida; Zingiberales; Zingiberaceae.